Long non-coding RNA from Micropterus dolomieu (smallmouth bass), 446 nucleotides. RefSeq lists it as uncharacterized. The transcript has 3 exons. The record is from RefSeq and is a predicted model, not a curated record. NCBI's taxonomy places the organism in Eukaryota, Metazoa, Chordata, Actinopteri, Centrarchiformes, Centrarchidae.
CUGUCUGUUGUGGCUUUGGUUUCCCAGUCUCGUUCAGUGUUUUCGUCUUGCUAUUUUCAGCUCAUGGUGUUUUGGAUUACCUGUUCUGGAUAUUUUUUUUUGUUACUCAUUUGGAUUUUUCUGGACUCAGCCACUCAGUCUAGCAUCCUGGGCUCGUUUCCUCACUCAGAUGGCUUAGAGGCAACGAAAACCUGAAAGGACCAGCUGGACCCUCACAAGCUCAAUGUGCUCAUAGUGUGGAAUCAGAUGUCCCACCUGGUGCCAGACAGCUUCAGAGACCUGGAAAGCAUCCUCAGUGUGCUGGACAUCUGUAUCUGAUAGCAUGGACUGACGUGGAAAGGACUUCUCCCCUUCUGUUUACUUUUACAUUUAGUUUUAAUGUUGUCCUUGUGUUAUGCACAUUUAAGAAAUCUAUAAAUUUGGUUUGCAUUGCAAUAAAUUCUCAA